CCGCUCUCAGGUCACCUCGCAGCCUUCCCUUCCCCAGCUCUCCUCCUGUCCCCAUAGGAGAGGUGUUCCAUCCCUUAGUUCAUAUUUGUGGCCCUUCUCUGGACAUGCUCCAACAGGUCUGUGUCUUUCCGGUACCGAGGGCUCCACACCUUGAUGCAGUACUCCAGCAGAAAACAGGGGAAGGUAGCAGGAAUCCACAUCCCACUGCUACGGGAAAAGCACAGCACCUGAUCGCCUGCCGAUCCUUGCCCAGAUGCUGCUCAGCGAUGAGAAGCCAUAUUUGCAGGAUUGGCUCAGAACCCAGCUUUGCUGACUGGCUGCUGGUUGCCCCAAGAGGCAAUGCUCUUUCUAUGUGAGUAUGGAAUCCUGGAGCACUGCAGUUGUACAGGAGAGUUAUCCAGUCAGGCUGUAUUGCUGUACUUGGUGCCUCAGACCUCGCCUUGGGUUCUAGAGCCUGGAAGCGGGUGGCGCUGGGGGCCCUGAUUGGCAGGGAGUCGGAUGGCACUGGGGGGGCCCGGUGGGCUGGGAGGCGGCGUUAGUUUUAACCUUGACCUGAACCCCAAGCGUUAAAAGAACUCUAAAGAGAAUUGUAUUAAUCCACAACGUAAGUCUCAGCCUAACCCUUAACCUGGUGCUAAAAAUGUGUCUAACCCUAAAUGUAGCAAUAAAAAUAAUACUAAAAGUUUACAGUAAAAGUAACAUGAACUCUAAUUGUAAUGCAAAAAACAGUCAUGAAAAUGAAGGUAGUGUUAACCCAAAAAGUAACAUGAAUCGUAACCCUAAUGACCCUAACAAAAAUGACUAUACCUCUGCCCUGAAAAUCUGCAAAACCUGCUCCAGGUAAGUCACCACAGAAGUAAUGCUAGCAGUAACCUGAAUCCUGAAGGUAACAGAGAAGAGGCACGGGCAGCGUGUACCCCCACUGUGUGCCAUGGCACCGCAGAGGGCUCCCAGGGGUUCUCAGUGCUCCCUGCACAACUCUGGGGGCAGCUGUGAGGCACCUGUUCCUUCUACGCAGGUGAAUGAAAUGCUUUAGAUCUGUGAACUUGGGUAGAAAACUGCAGUUUGCAUUGAUCUUUGUGGAAGUGAGGUGAUGGUCCACAUGAAACUCAAAACUGCAGCUUGGUGCAGUGACAGCCUGUAGAUUUGCUAGGGCCUGAAUUUACCCAUUUUAUUGCAUUAAAAAAAAACAAAAAUAAAAUGUGUAGCGCAGGAAAGACAUACAUUAGUAAAUACAUUCAAAUACGAACAAGACAGAAUAAGAUAAGACUAAUGUGGCCCUGUGAUUUCUGCUAACACGCCUUCAUUUCAUUACUGUUAAAUUUGCUUGGUAGCUCAAUUUCAGUGCAUGAAUAUUUAAAAACAAUGUAAUGGAGGCUGCCAAAAAAAAAAAAAAGCAUGACACCGUGAUUGAUUUUUUUUUUUAAACUGAUAAUCCUAAGUAAAUAGUACAGGUUUCUUGGGCUUGGAGGCGUUUUCCUCCGUUUUUCUUAGUCUUCCCCUCCCACCCGCCUUCUUUAUUCCCUCCUGUUUUAACGUUGUGUUCUUGCCCUGUUCUAAAAAGCAAGCGAGAGCGGAAGGCCGGCGGGGGACCGUGGUACUGGCCGAGUGAAUGGCACGGGAGAAGUUGUUUCCGCGGUCUGUGCUGCCACCGCGUGGUCAAUCCGCGGCAGUGCCGCUGUCUCGGUUUGGUGCGGCAGGACGCAUGCGCACAGGCAUGCGGAAGUGGCGCGUGUCCGUUGUGGUCGCUCUGCGCAGCUAGCCCGCCAAUCUCCAGUGUGCUUAGUCCUCCAGGUGGCAGUGCGCAUGCGCCCGAGAGCGUAUGAGCGGCACCCCUUUCUCCGUCUGGUCGCGCGCACCUCAGCGCCUCGGUGCUUGGGCUCAGCAAUAUUCUCCCCUGCUUCCAAUCCAGGCUGCCCCUCGCUUAUUUCCUCGGUCGGUUUUACGUCCGAGCCCGCCCCGGGACCACGGACAGCUUUUGGUGGCGCGCGGUGCUGGCGUGGAGCGGCUCCGGGGUCACGCCUGGCGGCACGCGACCAGCUUUCCUAGUAGCUGUUUAACGGGCUCUUCCAACCUGCCUGUCCUGUCCCGGGCGACCGAGCUCCUUCACGUCGCGGUGCCUCAGGGCUCCGGGCGCCCCGCCGCGCGCUGCAGAAAUCGUACAACGGAGCGGGAAGCGAGCAGGAAAUCGUAUCGUCUCAGACCGAGGCGGGAAAAGGCACCGCCGCCUGCUCCCCUGCCGAUCUUUGCGCGGAUUCCGCUUGAGCAAUGGAAAGCCGCGCGUCCCGUAAUGCCCCGGAACACAGCUUCGGUGACUGGUUCCCCGAACGGACUGAUGGGGGGGAAAAACAGCGCCGCCUGCUCACCUGCCGAUCCUUGCCUGGGUGCUGCUCGAGCAACGGAAGGCCACCUGUCCCGGAGUGCCCCGGAACCCAGCUUCAGUGGCCGGUUGCCCGAACAGGUAAGCACACCGUAUGCGUACAAAUCUUUCCCCGUUGCGUAGCGUGGCAGCAGUGUGUAGUACUCCCCGAGCAGGAAAGAAAGCCCACAGCAAACUGCACUGACCCAACGCGGGCAGCAGGCUGAGUGCUGGAAGGCUUUGGGAGCUGUUUUGUUGCUCCCUUGUGGUUCGUUUAGUCACCAACCUGCACGUUUCAAUUUCUCCUAUUUUGGAUGCUGUAACUGAGGGCAAGGUGAUUGCAGAGCAGGAAACAUACUCAGGCCACUCGCUGUUGGCUGAUUGACGGAAGCCCCUUCUCCCUUGGCUGACAAUUAAUUUCCCAACAAACAACAGCGUUGCCGGUGCAGCGGUGCCUUUUCUGGAUUCGAGCUGAAGUUCUACUCAGCUUUUCAUUUGGCCCCGAAUAGCACGGUGUUAGGCUUGAGCCAGUGUGAAAUCUGAAGCGUAGCAGUAAAGCUCAGUUCUGAAGGAGGCUCCAGCCUCCUGGAGGGCAGAUGCUGGUGGCAAAAAGAGCCAUCGUUCUCAGAGGUGACGUAGAGGUGGUGAGGCAGCAAAAUAGGAAAGCGGGGUUGGGGGUUUAAGGCCAGUUUAGAAAGAAAGCCGUUUUCAAGCAUUUUUGGGACUCAGCAAGCAGUUUUUCUUCUUGUUUUGGACUAACCCAGCGUACUUGGGCAAGCUGCUUUUUCAGACGCCUCAACACAAGUCCGCAAAGUUCCUGGGUUCGGUCAUCGUCACGCCGCGUAACUGCGCGUCCCGUCCAAGAGAAGAAUAUCUGUUGUGUCGGCUCUUCCAAGCAGCGUUGCGGGAAGAGAUGGAGGGGGUUGUAGCCUGGGAUGCAGCCCUGCUGUUGCACCGGUUUGGACAGAUUCUAGAAUUGAAGCGGUUCUCGUGUGAUGUCCCAUGCUAACUUGCAGGUCACGCUAAAGCGUCCCUGCGUUCUGCUUGUCCCGUUUCACGUUAGUCCUUUCAGUAAUCUGGAAAGGAGGAACUAACUUUGUUCGUGAGGAAUUAAGCCGUUCCUUUUUAGUCCGUACUUUGUCACUCGGCGAGGCGCUGUUUCUGGUCUCGCACAGUGCCUUCCUAAAAUGCAGUCCAGUCUAACUUCUGUCAUGUCUGGUUGCAGGAGCUUCCAACAAACGGCAGACUCAGGCUUCACGGGUCAGAGACGGAGCGAACGUGAGGGCCUCUGGAUUUCCAGAAACAAAUGAGAAGACUGAGAACUGGAUGCUGUGUUUGACGCUUUUCCUGGCUGUCCUACUUAAGGAUUCCCUCUGUCCGUAGGCACAUUUGGUUGGUUUGGUCGGACCACAGGAGCUUGGUGCUUAUGACCGAAGUUCUUAAUGAUACAGAGCUGUGCUGCCUGCUCUCUAGACCAAAUACGCAUAACGUUGGAGGAGGUUAUGCUUUAUUUUUUUUUAUGCUUUUGAAGUAUGAGGCUGGUACAUGCCUUCAAACAGAUAACAUUUUAAGGAAAUGUAUUUUUCCUUCCCCCCCCUCCCCUUUUUCUUCUACAAAGCUCUCAGUAAGUAAUGUUAAUUGAAUACAACUAAUAUAAAUUUCUAUUUGCAAGAGAUACUGCUAGUGUGAUGUAUAACUUCAAGACAGUUAGGAAGAUCAACUGGGAUUAAGUUGGUAGAGUGGUGCAAAGAGUAGGUAGGCAGUUGCUGAGGCUGAAGGAAGACUUGAUUCCUGUUAGUACUUUUGCUGCUGAGAAAUAGAACCACAGAUUCUGAGGUAGCUUCACCCAUGUGGACUACCCCAGGCUGAUACUUACUUCAUUCUGUAGUGUUGACAUCUGUCAUGAUUUCUUCCAUACAAGGAAUUCCAGGUGUUGUCAGAAGCUAUUCAGACACGUUGGUGUUAAUUUUAUCCUAGAAUGGCUGCUGCUUGACGUGCUGUCUACACAUUGAUGGUGCAUAUAUUAGCUUAUGUUUCUUGACCUCUGGUCAUGUUCUGACAGUGGUGCUUAGGACAUUAGAAGGGAAUCUCUUUAGGAGAUGGAAGAAGAGAUGUGUUUUGCUUUUUGCCUGUGCUGAAUCAGUAAUUAGCUUUGAGAUGCGAUGAGAUGCCAUUUAAGCUAGAAGACAUCAUGGGAAGAAAAAGGACCUGGGGAUCAGUUCCAUGUCAACCUUUGUUUGGUCUUUUUCCAUUUUGCAUGUAGCUACUACAGAUAUACGUACUAUUUGCAAGAAAACAUCUGUUUUACUGGAGGAUAAGCAUAACAUGGCAGUUUCUUUUGGUCCCAGUGUCUUUCUAACCCUAAUACUUCAACCCUCUCUUUAUUCCAAGUAACCAAGUCUCUCAUUUCCUUCUUGAGUGGGCCUACAUUUUUCCUAGUUUUCCUUUUAUCACUGAUUUUACUUACAGAAGCUUUUCUUGUUGCCCUUAACAUCCUUGGCCAGAUUUAAUUCUAUCAGGGCUUUAGCUUUCCUGACCUGAUCCCUGGCUUUUCAGACUAUUUCUCGAUAUCCCUCCCAGGCUUGCUGUCCUUGUGUCCACCCUCCAUAGCCUUCCUUUUUGUGUUUGCAUUUGUCCAGGAGCUGCUCAUUCAUCCAUGCAGGCCUCCUGGCAUUUUUGCCUGGCUUCCUCUUUGUUGGUAUGCAUCACUCCUGAGUUUGCAGGCAGAGAUCCUUGAAUGUUAAUGAGCUUUCUUGGACCCCUAUUCCCUCCAAGGCUUGAUCCUGCACUACUCUACCAAGAAAAUCUCUGAACGGGUCGAAGUCUGCUCUCCUGAAGUCCAGGGAAGUGAACUUGCUGUGUCCCCUCCUCGCUGCCCCAAGGACCUUGAAUGCCAGCACGCCACAGACAGCGCAGCUACUUCUGCCCUCGAGCUUCACGUUCCCCACCAGCCUCUUCUUAUUGGUAGCACAGUGCAUACGUACAGAAAUGUGGAAGUGGCGUAUCUGAGUUCUGACCACUGUGCGCAGCGAAUCCACCAAUCUUUAUUGUCUAGGCUGCCCACGCAGCUUCUCAGCAUCUUGCCGUAAGAAAGAGAAAACGGAACACCAGGAUGGGGCUGGGGAGCCGCGCCGAUCCCGUCGGACGAGUCCUUCCCGCAGUCUCAGCUGCCACCGUGUGGCCAAUCCGCGGAACUGCCACUGCCUGCGCUUGGUGAUGCAGGCAGAAUGACGCAUGCGCACCGAAAAGCGGAAGUGGAGUGUCUACGUUCUGACCGCUCUGCGCAGCGAAUCCGCUGAUCUCUAUUGUGAUUAGUCCUCCAGGCAGUGGUGCGCCUGUGUGCCGAAAAGCGGAAGUGGCGUGUCUGCGUUCUGACCGCUCUGCGCAGCGAAUCCGCUGAUCUCUAUUGUGAUUAGUCCUCCAGGCAGUGGUGCGCCUGUGUGCCGAAAAGCGAAAGUGGCGUAUCUAUGUUCUGACCACUCUGCGCUACUAAUCCGCCGAUCUUUACUGUGAUUAGUCCGCCAGGCGUUUGCCAUCGUCCUCAAUAUUUUGAUGCCGUGCAUGUAACUCUUGUUUUGCAAUGCCAUGUGUUGUGUAUCGAGUGCUGAAUUCAAAGCAUCCUGGUCUGAUAUCACUCAGUUGCGUGUAUUUCAUUUUGACCAUCCGUACUCGCAUUGUGUUCUCAGGUCGGUGUGACAGGUAAGCGAUGGGGAG
Numida meleagris (helmeted guineafowl) is the source of this 6073-nucleotide long non-coding RNA. RefSeq lists it as uncharacterized. The transcript is spliced from 8 exons. NCBI's taxonomy places the organism in Eukaryota, Metazoa, Chordata, Aves, Galliformes, Numididae. The record is from RefSeq and is a predicted model, not a curated record.